This 928-nucleotide ribosomal RNA is filed under the name Steringophorus furciger. RNAcentral's name for it is "eukaryotic LSU rRNA". It matches the Rfam family "Eukaryotic large subunit ribosomal RNA", at positions 41 to 647 of the family's 3401-position model. Lineage: Eukaryota; Metazoa; Platyhelminthes; Trematoda; Strigeidida; Fellodistomidae. The record is from RNAcentral.
UAUCCUAAGCGGAGGAAAAGAACUAACAAGGAUUCCCUUAGUAACGGCGAGUGAACAGGGAAGAGCCCAGCACCGAAGCCUGUGGCCAUUUGGUCUCUAGGCAAUGUGGUGUUUAGGUCAUCUCGCAGAGACACUGUCCCACUCUAAGUCCAGCAAUGAGAACGGCAAUUUGGACUUGGCCCAAAGAGGGUGAAAGGCCCGUGAGGGUGGGAAUCAGGAUGGCCAGUGUCUCUCUGAGUAGACCUUGGAGUCGGGUUGUUUGUGAAUGCAGCCCAAAGCGGGUGGUAAACUCCAUCCAAGGCUAAAUACUAACACGAGUCCGAUAGCGAACAAGUACCGUGAGGGAAAGUUGAAAAGUACUUUGAAGAGAGAGUAAACAGUGCGUGAAACCGCUCAGAGGUAAACAGGUGGAGUUGAACUGCAAGCUUUGAGAAUUUAACUGGUGAGUGUGGCAUGGGCUUGGAUAUGCUGGUUGGCCUUUGGAGUCUGCUUAGCUGCAGGUCCUGCCUUUUGGGGUGGGAUGCAUGAUGCACUUAUCAAGUGUUGUGCGCUUCGGGGGUACAUCGGACCUGCUCGCCAGUGCAUUUUCUCAGAGUGUUCACCACGACCGGCGCUGCUGUCUGUCUACUAUUGUUAAACCGGGUGUGUAUCGUCCUUGCGGCUUUGCAUAUUCGGGACGGCAGGUAGCCCGAUUUUGCUUGUCAAUGUCGGGUGUAAUCAGCUGACUGUAGUAGUACUGUGCAGUGCGCCGGAGAUGGCGGCUUGUGGUGCAUACAUGCGUGCCUGUUUGAUUGGCGGCUUUGGGUCUGGUUGUCAUGAGCCUGUAAAAGCAGGCCUGAUAAUGGCACAGAGUCGUUCGGUCGACGGUUGCGUGUGGAGUACUUUAAUGGGCCUAUAGUCUGUGGUGUAGUGGUAAACGAUCACCUGA